UGAUAGGUGGCUGAGCGGUCAAAAGCGCUAAAUUUGAAAUUUAGUAUUCGUGGGUUCAAAUCCUGCCCUAUCCU
Molecule: non-coding RNA, 74 nt
Organism: Naegleria fowleri
Lineage: Eukaryota; Heterolobosea; Eutetramitea; Acrasida; Naegleriidae
Source: the annotation of a RefSeq genome assembly